UCAGACGUCCGUGUGUCCAGCCAUCAAAAGUGACCUGAAAAGCAGCAUUGACAGUGACCAGGUGCUCAGGAAGUUUAUGCUUGUAAGACCCAAUGACUCCCCACCAAGAAUCCUACCAGUUUCCUUGGAACCUUUGCUCAUGACCAUUCAAGAUGAGCAUUACACACUGGCGAAAGAGAUCUGCAUCUGGGGCCUUCAACUGAGCAACCCAGAGAUUGCCAGACUUGCUUUGCUUCUGGAAUUGAAGGGGCACACCACCUGCCCGUUUACCACCCUAGAAAUCAUUGAUUGCAAGAUGGAUCUGUGGUCUCUAGAGCGACUUGGGAAGGCUCUGCGGUUCAGUAGUUUGCAUUCUCUUGUCCUCGAUUACUGCAAAUUUGGAAAUGAAGAACUUGAGAGCAUUUUCUCAGGCCUGGAGAACAACCAAAGGCUUCAAGGCCUCAGUCUGCGUUACUGUGGUCUGGGACCUCAGAGCGGGCUAAGGCUGGGUUCGGUCAUCAGCCAGAGUGCCAUUUGCGAGCUGUUCCUUGAUGGCAAUUACUUGGAAUGUUCCGGAGCACUGGCUCUUCUCAGGCCCAUAGCAGGCUUUGCGGAGACACAGGGGGAAGACCAGCCAGCCCCAGGCUCACCAGACACUGGAAAUCCCCCUCAGCGGCUCCAAGCCAAACAGAGAGGAAGUUCAACUAUGAACCAGAUUACAAAAUCGUCUGAAGCUGUAACAGUGAAAACUACUUCAGGGAAGAAAAAGAGAAAAAAAGGAAUCAAGAAGAAAAUUGAAGGUCUGAUGGAAAGUGGUCCUUGGUUAGUGAAGUUGCAUUAGGCAGAUAAUGGCAUAGAUGGAAAAGGAAGAGAAGGAGAAAAUGGUUUAUUGGAAUUCAUUCAAACUUUAACAUGCCUGAUCAAAUACUCUGCCUACUUAAGGGAAAUUGACCUUGGAAACAAUGUUCUGGGAGAAAUGGCUGCUGCUAACAUACUU
Molecule: long non-coding RNA, 976 nt
Filed under: Homo sapiens (human)
Lineage: Eukaryota; Metazoa; Chordata; Mammalia; Primates; Hominidae
Description: non-protein coding lnc-RNF7-2:1
Source: RNAcentral